GCAGAAUCACAUUGACCGACGGGACGGGCCAAAAGCCCGGAACGGCAGCCAUGCUUCUCCAGCCGAUCCCCACCGCCACCCUCGCCGCUGGACGGAGCUCCGGCGAAGCUCCCUUCCCCUUUCGCCGCCGCUGCCGCCGCCACAUGCUCCUCCCUAUCCGCGCCGACUCGACCCCGAUCUCCCUCUCGGCCUCCGCCCCCUCGCGGCCGGCCAAGCCGGCCGCUUGCACCGCCGACGAGCUCCACUACGCCCCCGUCGACGGCGCCGGCUGGCGACUCGCGCUCUGGCGGUACAGGCCGCCGCGCAAUGCUCCCGUCAGGAAUCAUCCGCUGAUGCUGCUGUCGGGAGUCGGGACCAACGCCGUCGGAUUCGACCUGUCACCCGGGGCUUCGUUUGCCCGUCACAUGUCUAGCCAAGGAUUUGAUACGUGGAUAGUUGAAGUAAGAGGUGCUGGUCUGAGCACGCGUGAAUAUGAUGAUUCUGCUCCAUCUGGCUCAGUCACUUUUGAGGAUGUCUCUGGUGGUAUUCAACCUCUUAAUAAACAGAUUACAUUCGAGGCUACUUCCCUUCAGAGUUCUGGUGGCUAUGCUAGUGAUUGUGAUGACCUUGGAAUAGUUGCUUUGGAUGAACCACCUUUACUUGCUGAACUUUCUAAUUUUUUUGAUCGGAUCGCAAAGCUCAUGGAAGAGGCUGUAGUUAAUGGAAAUUUUCAUGAGAUCACAGAAAAAGUUUCUGUUCUCUCAGAAAUGGUAGAGAGCUCUACCAUUAUUGGUCCAGUGAGAGAAGAAAGUCUACGUCUUUUGAAGAAUUUUCAGGACCAGUUGGAUUCGUGGGAGCGUUUUGUAGCAACACAGAUGAAUCUGACUUCUGAAUAUAAUUGGGACUUUGACCAUUACCUAGAGGAGGAUAUACCUGCUGCGGUAGAGUAUAUUAGACAGCACAGUAAAGCAAAAGAUGGGAAGUUGCUUGCCAUUGGACACUCGAUGGGGGGAAUUUUGUUAUAUGCAAUGCUGUCAAGAUCUGGUUUUGAAGGAGUUUCAUCAAAUUUAGCAGCCAUUGUCACUUUGGCUUCUUCUAUUGACUACACAACAUCCAAUUCAUCACUGAAGCUGUUACUGCCUCUUGCUCAUCCUGCACAAGCUCUUAAUGUCCCUGCUGUUCCAUUGGGUAUGUUGUUGGCAGCAGCAUAUCCGUGGGCAUCUUGUCCACCAUAUCUUUUUUCCUGGCUUAAUCCUCAAAUAUCAGCUCAGGACAUGAUGCAUCCGGAGUUGCUGUCUAAGCUUGUUUCCAACAACUUUUGUACAGUGCCUGCAAAGGUUGUCCUGCAACUUACAACCGCAUUCAGGGAAGGUGGGCUGUGCAACCGAAAUGGAACCUUCUCGUAUAAGGAUCAUUUGCAAGAGUGUCAGACUCCUGUCCUUGCAUUGGCUGGAGAUAAAGACCUAAUAUGCCCUCCCGAGGCUGUUUAUGAAACUGUGAAACUCAUUCCAAAGCACAAGGUGAACUAUAGGGUGUUCGGAAAGCCACAAGGCCCACAUUAUGCACAUUAUGACUUGAUUGGAGGUCGACUGGCGACCGAUGAUGUGUAUCCAUGUAUCAUAGAGUUCCUCUCUCGCCAUGAUGGUUGUUGAUUUGAUUAUAUGAUGCUAACACCGGGUAACUUAACAUGUUCAUCUCAAAGGUUUUAAAGUUGAGCUGAACAAUCUUUUCCACGGUCUUCUCAAUCAAUGGCUAGAAAAUAGGUGAACGCACGAGCUCUCGUGUGUGUUGGAGAAAACAAAUACACGAGCUCAUCUGAUGUAUCCUUGUAACAAGCGUCGGCGGAUACUAUGUUGACAUGCAAGAUGUAUAAAACUGUAGAUUUCUGUGGCAUCAUUCUGGCAGUAAAUAUUAUAAGUUAAGAGAGGAACAUCGAAACAUUGCAUGUGCCUUUGAUUACAGCAGUCUGUCAGAGGCUCAAUAGACUUUAUGGAUGUUCAACAAAGCAUUGUGCUUAGUGUCUGUGCACAUGGUGACUGACUCCACAUAGGCUUUUGUUUCUAGCAGUAUCCUUUUUCUGAAGAAUGAAUGAUGAUGCCCAGCAAGGCAACAAGACAGCAAGAGGUUUGGAAA
RNA transcript from Sorghum bicolor (sorghum), 2112 nucleotides. RefSeq lists it as uncharacterized. The transcript is spliced from 10 exons. NCBI's taxonomy places the organism in Eukaryota, Viridiplantae, Streptophyta, Magnoliopsida, Poales, Poaceae. The record is from RefSeq and is a predicted model, not a curated record.